GGAGGUGUAGCUCAGUUGUUGAGUAUCUGCCUAGCACACAGAAAGCCUUAGGUUCCAUCCUGGCACCUCCA
Molecule: transfer RNA, 71 nt
Filed under: Cricetulus griseus (Chinese hamster)
Lineage: Eukaryota; Metazoa; Chordata; Mammalia; Rodentia; Cricetidae
Rfam family: tRNA
About the family: Transfer RNA (tRNA) molecules are approximately 80 nucleotides in length. Their secondary structure includes four short double-helical elements and three loops (D, anti-codon, and T loops). Further hydrogen bonds mediate the characteristic L-shaped molecular structure. tRNAs have two regions of fundamental functional importance: the anti-codon, which is responsible for specific mRNA codon recognition, and the 3' end, to which the tRNAs corresponding amino acid is attached (by aminoacyl-tRNA synthetases). tRNAs cope with the degeneracy of the genetic code in two manners: having more than one tRNA (with a specific anti-codon) for a particular amino acid; and 'wobble' base-pairing, i.e. permitting non-standard base-pairing at the 3rd anti-codon position.
Source: Rfam by way of RNAcentral